UUGAUCCUGGCUCAGAAUCAACGCUGGCGGCGCGCCUAACACAUGCAAGUCGAACGAGAACGGUCUCAGCAAUGGGGCUUAGUAAAGUGGCGUACGGGUUAGUAACACGUGGAUCAUCUACCUUCUAGUGGGGGAUAACCCGGGGAAACUUGGGCUAAUACCGCAUAACACCGCAAGGUCAAAGGAGCAAUUCGCUGGAUGAUGAGUCCGCGGCUGAUUAGCUAGUUGGCGGGGUAAUGGCCCACCAAGUCUUUGAUCAGUAGCCGGUCUGAGAGGACGCACGGCCACACUGGAACUGAUACACGGUCCAGACUCCUACGGGAGGCAGCAGUGGGGAAUCUUGCACAAUUGGGGAAACCCUGAUGCAGCGACGCCGCGUGGGUGAUGAAGGUCUUCGGAUCGUAAAGCCCUUUCGGCAGGGAAGAGUAAAGACGGUACCUGCAAAAGAAUCCCCGGCUAACUACGUGCCAGCAGCCGCGGUAAUU
RNAcentral lists this ribosomal RNA (485 nucleotides) under uncultured Acidobacteriota bacterium. RNAcentral's name for it is "bacterial SSU rRNA". It matches the Rfam family "Bacterial small subunit ribosomal RNA", at positions 13 to 525 of the family's 1533-position model. The record is from RNAcentral. Lineage: Bacteria; Pseudomonadati; Acidobacteriota.